RNAcentral lists this ribosomal RNA (468 nucleotides) under Triticum aestivum (bread wheat). Its description in RNAcentral is "partial small subunit ribosomal RNA". Lineage: Eukaryota; Viridiplantae; Streptophyta; Magnoliopsida; Poales; Poaceae. The record is from RNAcentral.
AUGGAGAAGAACAAAUCCUGGUGUUUCAACCUACCCACAGCCGAUCAAUUGAGCGAGUGGAUGUUAACAGAGAAAUACAUGAUUGAUGAUAUUUCUUCUUCACAAGGUUUUAUAAGCGCAGUAGAACACAAGACGAGAGAGGUUGCGCGGCUGUGUUCCCACUACAUACUAGCACGGUGGGAUGGAUGGCCUAUGGAUGAGCACCACGUCACGCCACUCAUUUCAGAACAUCUUCAUCUGCCAUAUCAACCAUAUCUGUAUGCUCCAUAUGAUAAUGAAUCCCGGUUGGUGCUAGAUUUAAUGAAUGAGCCAACCACAGCUUAUGCACGUGUGGUUCUGUCCAGUGGAGUGACCAUGGCAGUAGAUGGGACUGAAGUUCUAUGUUACCCUGUAAAAAAUGUAGGUGUGCCAAUGGAAGCAAUACCUAAGGAAGUAAUAACCCCUAAAGAAGCUAGAGCAAGAAACUAA